AAGAAAGACCUGGUAGAAGAUCAUAACCCAGGGGGCGUCAGAGAAAGCAGAGGAAGCAAUUGCUGUGGAAGCAGUAGCCACAACAUCUCCAUAAGGCAAAAGAGAGAGAUGAUAUCAUUAACUCUGAUGUUCCAGCAGGGCUUGCACCUCGUUUCCUCUCCAGCCCUCCUUAAUGCUGUAGAUGGUACACAAAAGGUUAUACUCAGCACAUGGUUGUUGACUUAAUGACUUACAGAAGGAAAGCCUUGUUCUGUGAAACAUCUCAAAGAAGAGAAAAACCUCAUGAAAGGAAAGGAUAUUUUGGAGACCUUGGAAGGACUCAACAUAAGGAGAGAGGGAUGGAAGUAUAUAUGUGGUGUGAUAUUUCCAAAGGCUCCUCCUUUCAGGCAUCUGUGGCUGACUCAACUGUUAAAUGUUUAGAUCCAGAGACUCUUAUAUUCUUUUUACUUUGUAAAGGGCUCUUCAUGGUAGAGGAGUAUUAAUUAGAGAGGAAAGUGAGUGCCAGCAUAGUAGGAAAAAUAGAAUACUCGCAGCCCAGAGAGCAUGGCUUCUGCUCUAGCCCCAGUGGGGGCAAGAAUCUUUGAAAGACUGGGAUGAUAUUAAGCAAAUACGUGCAUGAUUGUGCACGUGUAUAACCAAUAUUUAGUUUAAUGACAAGAUAACUCAAUCUGGGAUUUGCCACUCAUCAAGCUUUAAGGCAAUUCUUUUAUUCAACUCCUCCCUACUCUUCAAACUUAGCAAUAAAAAAACAAACAACAAAAAGUACAGGAGAGCUGAGCUUUACACAGACUACAGCUUUACCAAGUUCUGAACUCAGAAAAUGCCUGGGAGGUAUUAGAAAGGGCAGUUAAUUGGUUGGCUCCUGAA
Molecule: long non-coding RNA, 867 nt
Organism: Chinchilla lanigera (long-tailed chinchilla)
Lineage: Eukaryota; Metazoa; Chordata; Mammalia; Rodentia; Chinchillidae
Exons: 3
Source: RefSeq, a predicted model, not a curated record